CUACGGGGGGCUCCAGUGGGGAAUAUUGCACAAUGGAGGAAACUCUGAUGCAGCAACGCCGCGUGGAGGAUGACACUUUUCGGAGCGUAAACUCCUUUUAUAUAGGAAGAAGAUGACGGUACUAUAUGAAUAAGCGCCGGCUAACUCCGUGCCAGCAGCCGCGGUAAUAGGGAGGGCGCAAGCGUUACUCGGAAUCACUGGGCGUAAAGAGCGUGUAGGCGGAUUAAAAAGUCAGAAGUGAAAUCCUAUAGCUUAACUAUAGAACUGCUUCUGAAACUCUUAAUCUAGAAUAUGGGAGAGGUAGAUAGAAUUUCUGGUGUAGGGGUAAAAUCCGUAGAGAUCAGAAGGAAUACCGAUUGCGAAGGCGAUCUACUAGAACAUUAUUGACGCUGAGACGCGAAAGCGUGGGGAGCAAACAGGAUUAGAUACCCUCGUAGUC
RNAcentral lists this ribosomal RNA (439 nucleotides) under uncultured bacterium. Its description in RNAcentral is "partial 16S ribosomal RNA". It matches the Rfam family "Bacterial small subunit ribosomal RNA", at positions 339 to 795 of the family's 1533-position model. The record is from RNAcentral.